Molecule: transfer RNA, 87 nt
Filed under: Rickettsiaceae bacterium
Lineage: Bacteria; Pseudomonadati; Pseudomonadota; Alphaproteobacteria; Rickettsiales; Rickettsiaceae
Description: tRNA-Leu
Rfam family: tRNA
About the family: Transfer RNA (tRNA) molecules are approximately 80 nucleotides in length. Their secondary structure includes four short double-helical elements and three loops (D, anti-codon, and T loops).
Source: RNAcentral
GCCUGCGUGAUGGAAUUGGUAGACGUAACGGACUUAAAAUCCGUCGAGCACAAGCUCGUGCCGGUUCAAGUCCGGCCGUGGGCACCA